AAGCUUCUACUUUCUACUUUUCACUUUCUUUUUAUUUUAAAAUUAAAUUAAUUAGACUAUUUGCAACGACCAGGUUGCCACAAAGGAUAUUCAGGGGCGACUAUUUACAAGUCGCCACUAAAAAUAUGGAGGCAAAAUUUUGGUAUUAGCGGGAAUGGAAAAUUACAGAAUUAGCGACACCUAUUAAUGGCGACCUAUUAUAGCUCGCCACUAAAUAUUUAGCUUCUGCAGUGACAUUAUUUGUCGCCACUGAAUAUGUAACUAUUGUGGCAGCUAAUACUGUCGCCACUAGAUAUCGCCACAAUAAAUCUUGUUUCUUGUAGUGGCUUCAAGGAAAUUAGUUGUUCCUUCUGUGAGUUAUCUCUACAAGGAUUUAACUUUAUUAGCUGAUUCUAAACAUAUUUGAGCUUAUGGCCUGGUGUAAUUGUGAUUCUAAUCUAUUAUCAAGUAUACCUAAAAAUGGUGACAUCGAGGGGUCAAAUGGAGAAGAUGAAGCUACAUUCGUAUCACAUAAACACUGAUCUCAUGCGAGUCACACAGUCUGAUACUCUUUUUUGAUGUUUCCCACUUUGGUGGGAAAGGAGGCCAUCCAUUUGAAGUGAUGCACUCGGCCCUUACUGGAGUAGUACAGUUUUCCUUCCUACCUCCAGCAACAAGACUUAAUAAAGCUAGAAAAUACUGUGGUCCUUAAGAAUAAGCUGCAACUGAAGUGUACGUAUCUGGACAAUGAGGAUUCACAACUAUUGUGGCUGGUGUAGCGGUAAUGAUACUACCGAGUGGCUAAGGCAGGGUGAAAGAUGAUCUACCGAAGCUUGGAGGAAAAAGAUAUCUUAUACUAAAGCUUUGAAAUAGUCCUUACACUCAAAAGUGGAUAUUCAUUAUCUUUUAGAUGAAGCUUGGAGAAAAAAGAUAUCUUGUACCGAAGCUUUGAAUUAGUCCUUACACUCAAAAGUGGAUAUUCAUUAUCUUUCAAAUAUUUGGUAAAGUUUUGUCUCUCAAUGCAUGAAAGUAUAUCAAGUGUUAUUAUGUUUUGUACAUUUAAUUAGUGUGACAAUACACUUGAAUUGAGUGUGAGAAUA
Long non-coding RNA from Lycium barbarum (goji berry), 1079 nucleotides. RefSeq lists it as uncharacterized. The record is from RefSeq and is a predicted model, not a curated record. NCBI's taxonomy places the organism in Eukaryota, Viridiplantae, Streptophyta, Magnoliopsida, Solanales, Solanaceae. The transcript is spliced from 5 exons.